UGCCUUCGUGAACGGCAACGGUUUUGCCC
This 29-nucleotide small RNA is filed under the name Bombyx mori (domestic silkworm). RNAcentral's name for it is "ovarian small RNA-33891". Lineage: Eukaryota; Metazoa; Arthropoda; Insecta; Lepidoptera; Bombycidae. The record is from RNAcentral.